GGGCUUUAACAGAAUAAGUGUCAGUACUGAUGUGCUUUAACAUGGACUACUGCAGCAAAACUGAAAAGUGAAAGAAGAAAACAGCAAAGUUAGUUGACAUUUAUAUGGCAGCGGAAGAGCGGUUUGACAACAUGGUGUCUGACAUGUAAGUGGGUAUGAAGCAAAGGUGUUUGUUGAUGUGAUCUGCUCUUGGAUGUCUGGGAAUGCUGCCUUGGUUGAACAGUGCUUCCACACAUCCCAAACUGCAGCACUUCUUUCCCUGUAACAAGUAGGUAAUCAACAACCACUGCCACAAAUAUGGUGAUAGUCUGCUGGUUACUAUACGUGGAGGCAUUAAAGCCAAACACUAUACGUGAAGGCUAAAGCUAAAGAGUGGUAGGGUUGCUGUUUGAAACUGGAGUUUCAAUUCCCUGUGAGAAUUUGUUAGUUGAUACUUCAUAUCUUUGUAACUUUCAGGAAGUUCUGAAAUCUUUAUUUCACUAUGAAAAUCCCAGCAAUCUGUUAUAGGUGGCAUUACUUAAGUAGGUGGUUUAGAUCAGGUGAUCUCCAGGAGACCCUUCCAGCCUCAAUCAUUCUUUGAUGCUCUGAUUUUUUUCUUGCCAAUUAGCUCUCUAGAAAUGUACUGGGAGUCAGCAGAUGUCACGACCCAAUCAUAUCAGAGUUGUGGAGGUUUUGAAAUUCCCUCAGGUUAAAUUAAGGUGAAACAACAACAAACAACCAGUUAAAUGCUUAUUUAUUUCCCACUACGAUAUUUAGCACAAGAUGCUGAGUAUAUACAUAUAUAUAUAUAUGUACAUAUCUGUACCUUACUGGCAAUAAGCUAUGAUUGUGUUACUUCUAAUAAAACUUGACAAGAGAAAAAUAAAAAGGGAGAGGUGGGGGGAAGGAUUACAAUGACUCUUUCCUCCAAUUGAGUUGGGAGUCGUGGAGACCCUGUUACUUAUCACGUAGGUCAUGUCGGUAUCUCUUGCAACUGGGAAAUUUGAGUGUGGGAAGGGGAAAGGAGUAGGGACAUCCAUCCUCCAAUGAACUCUCCACCCUCUUUGGCAAGCACUUUUGGUUCCCAAAUUCCAGCUGCAAACUAAGCGCACAGUUUCUGUUCCUUCUUUGUUGUUAAGCAGUGCGCCAGUGGUUGAGACAUUGAAACUUUUUUAGACUGUCCACAGGACUUUACAGUGGGAUAAGUUCUGUUAAGCUUUGUUAAUUCAUUGUGACACUUACUCAUUGCCGAUAUCAUCAGCACAAUUGCCAGGCAGAUCUCCCACUGGGGAGAAGUCUCUUCCUUCCUAAUAUAGCUGCUGCAGGGGUAGAAGAUCUGGCCGACCAGUUUACAUCUACAUACGAGACAUGCAGAGAAACAGUUGCAAAAUGUCUAUCUUCCCUCAACAAGUGAGAAGAGGAGCUCUAAGCAUUAAAGAGGGCCUGUAUUAUCACAGGAAGCAACCAUCAACAUUGUCCAGAGAUUUCGAUAAAAAGCCCAUGCUUCUGCACAAAGAUUGUCUCAUGAAUCAGAGGAUCAUGUCCUUUGCAUGUAUGAUAUGGUUCUUAGAACAGUUAUAUAGGUAAGGCAUUUGCAUGGUGGGAAACUUCUUUAAUGGCAAAAGUCUCUGUAUGCCAGCAGAUACCAGGCUUCAAGAGUUUUAUUAAAUUAAUAAGCUUUAACAUUGUUGAAAGAUUCUGAAAAGUAAUUGUAAUCAUAACAUAAUUUUGGUUUAAAUUUUCAAGCCUUCUAUUUUCUACUGUAUUCAUGACAGAACUAAAUUGGCAACAAAUCAAAUAAAUGAUGUUAGAAUUAUUAAUAUAAAUCUAGAAACCUGAACAAAUUACACUGAACAUUCUGGUGCUGAGUUAGUUUUCUCACCCAUCAGCAAAAAGAAAACAGGAUUUGACUAUAGGGAUAAGAAGAAAAAAAGACAAUGAGGAGAGGAACCACACAUCAUGAGAUGCCCAACUGGACCUUCCUUUAAGGAGAUUGAGAGCUAUUCUAAGAGCUAUUUACAGACCUCUACUCUGGUUUUCUUAAUAAAGACACUGACCACCUUGCUUUCCAGUUCCUGCCCAGUUUGGGAUUAUUAAAUCACAAAAGUAUGUCCUUCUCCUGCUGGUAGCCACAGCGGUCGGCUCUUCUCCUGGUCACUUCCCUGCCUCAAGCUGCUGCUCUAGUGGCUGCUCUAGCCAGCUGUCCUACUCCUGCUCCUGCCUCUUGCUAUAGCAGCCCCAGUACUGCUGCCUCAUCUGGAUGACAGUUGUCACUCUGCUAUCAAUGUCUCCCACUUCAGCAAAGAGUAUGUGGCUGUGCAUGUGCACGUUUGUACUCAAGUACACUCCUGCUUUUUCAACUUGGAUUCUCAUCUAGCAGUAGCCCCUUAAAGUCUGCUAUGCAUUUUCUUUUGACUUCUGUGCUUUACUUCUGUAAAACCUACUGAGAUCUUUUACUAUCAGCAUUCUUAACUCAAGCACUUAAUCCAUACCAUUACAUGGUUAUCUGUUUCCUCCAUUAUGUGGAUGGUUACUCUACUCUACUCAAGUAGAAAGCCUUCUGAAUGAAUAAACGCUUACGUGCAAAUUAAACUUGUACUUCUGUACCUUGUUCCUUUCUACCUGUCUUAUUCUCUCCACCAAAUAUCAAUGGAGAGCUCUUCAUCUCAGAACUUCCAUCUCCCACACAGGAGCCAGGGAGCUGCUCUCUCAAUCACGUCCUGGUGCCAAAGCCCAUAUCUGUUUGACAGAACAAAAAGUGGUCUUGUCAUAUGCUAGGGAUGUAUUCUCUGUUCUCUUCAGUACACUGCUAAUUGUUAAAAACCUUGAAGAAAAUUGUAAUAAUUCAGAUGUAAGUUUUGCUCAUAUUACUGUUCUCAGAGAGAGCAAAAAAGUAAAAUUUCAAGGGAAAGGGGUGUUUGGGAUAAAAAACUGCGAUUUUCAAGACCCAUGUUUCUGAAAAAUGUAUUUCUUCUGUCAGAGUUCUAGGACUUAAGAUGAAAGAUCGUUACUAACUAGGAUAAGUGCCUUUUUAUAUAAAGAAAUGUUUUUAGAGUAACUAGAAGAUAACAGCAAAAAUAAAACAGGAGUGUACCUAUUGACUUAAGUUGUAUAGCUUGCUCAUGGGAAAGGGCUCCUUUAGUCUGUGAAACCUACAUUUCAUGUUUCUAUAGCAGAAUCAGAGGACAGAAAAGAAGAAACUAGGAGCAGCAGAAGAGUCAAGAAUCCUACAGUCACAUCUUGGGUUGAAAGGGACCUUAAAACCCAUCUAGUUCCAACCCAUUGCUAUGGGCAGGGUUGCCUCCCUCUAGAUCAGGUUGCCCAGGGUCUAGUUCAAUCUGGCCUUGAGCACCUCCAAGGAUGAGGCAUCCUCAGCUUCUCUGGGUAGCCUGUGCCAGUGCCUCACCACCCUUACCACGAAGGAUUUCUUCCUUAUAUCUAAUCUAAAUAUACCCUUUCAGUGUAAAACCAUUACCCCUUGUCCUAUCACUACAUCAUGGUUGUCAGGGUAUUCAUAAUUGUGGAAAAGCCUCUUCCUGAAUUAAUUUCUCCAUAUGCUCCAUCCACAAUAUACAGGAAGGCGCUUGAUUUAAGCUUUGGGAAGGGAGGCUGGUAUGCCAGUGCUAGGGGUGAAAUAAAGCAUGGUGUACAGGAUCAACACUACCCCUGUCUGGUUCUUCUUAAAAAGUCUAUAUUUAUCCUAGCUUCUCUCAAUUUUACCAAGUUCAUUGGCUCCUAUAAAAUGCUGAGUCUGCAAGAGACACUGUCAAGUUCCAGUUACUUUUAUAGUCUGAGGUGAGUUUGGUUGUUAUUUGUUAUUAGUUUUUGUUUUUGUUUUUAAUUUGUAGGCCUUUUCUCAUUAACCUUCUUGUUUUUCAUUGCACAAUUUAGAUGGGGGUUUCCACUGAGAGAGUAUACGAAGAUGAAAGAGGAAGAAUUGCUAUGGGAAGAGGUUUUAUUAAAAAUACAGCUGAAGGUUUUUUCAUCAUAUCUUUGAGUAAACAUUAGUGGGAUAGUGACAGAAGAUGUGUCACUGGAUUUAUUUACUGUAAGACAGUUCUGCCGAGUAAAGUACCAUAUGAAAGCAGCAUGUGUUUUUUUAAUAUAAUGUAAAGAGUAACUUAUUACAGUGACUUUAUUUUCUUCUUGUUUGAUGGAUUGUUGCCAUUUAUUACCACCGAGUAAUGAAACCUAUACUGUGUUUUACACGACAGUAGAAUGUCUUGGGCAGCAUUAAUCAGCCUCACGAAGUGUUCAAGAGAAAUAAUGAAAGAAAGAACUGGCAUGCAAGGCAAGUGCCUUCCAGUUUGUCUCCUGCAACCUUCCUUCCUCUGAAACAUUCAUCAUCUUCCUCUUAGUUUGCCAGGAUCUAAAAUCAGGCAGAUAUUUUCUUAUUAAUAUUGAGGCAGGGCACUGAGAGCUGCCAUCACAUCUUUCUUUAGCUGAGAGAAAAUUACCUCAGCUUAAGCUCAACUACCUCCUGCUAUUUGUAAGUCUAGGGCUUCACAAGCUGCGUUACUUGGCUUGUAUGCUAUGUGCACCUUGAUGAUUCUCCAUGUUUUAUCAUAACUGAUUGUAUACAUAUUCUUAAAGCACGAGAGAGUCUGCAGGCUGGGAUAGAAUCUCAGUCCCAAAUGGAUCAGAAUCUAGGAGGUAAGAGGUGUGCUAUUGUAUCUAAAGGGAUAAGAGACAGCCAAGAAAUACAAGAUACAAAAACAAGGCUACCAAGGAGCUGAGUUCAUGGAGCAAUGAAUGUAUUUACUGAGGACUUCACAUCCUUUUGGAUAGAAUAUCCGGGGACUGGUUGUCAGCAUACAAGAUGAAUCAAAAUGUGAAUCCUUUCAAGAGUUUGCAUAGAAACCAUGGAAUCUAAUGAGUCAGAAAUAGAGAUGCUCAAGGCACUCGAUUUUGUACUGUCAGAUCUUUUCUUUCUCAGAACUCUCAAGAGUUUUUGUUAUCUAUCAGUUCAACAUAAGGAACGUUUUUACUGCUAAGGAACAGGUAAAGCAAUUUGCUGGCAGAGGCUUUGCCUCUUGUUCUGUCCAGAUAAUGCCAGGGCAUAGAUCACUCUGAGCAAUUACAAUCAUCAGUAACAGAAUUUAGAAAUCACACUUUUGCUGUUAAACACUUGCCAUUACAUUAUAUGACUUCUACAAUGCAGAUCUUUCAUUUGGUACAACAUCAACAUCUUCCUCCUUAGCUAUGACUCCUGCCCUUUCCUCGUCAGUCUGGUUCACCAAAUUGCUAGUUGAUGAACAAAUACUCUGUGCAUGACAACAGAAGGUUAUGCCUUACUGUGUGUUCAUUACAGCCCUUAACCAGUAGCUGAAAGCGUAGUAAAAAAGAUAUCAAGAAAUUUUGUUUUCUGACGGACAUUUUUAUUUUGAUGGGGGGUG
This 5375-nucleotide long non-coding RNA is filed under the name Gallus gallus (chicken). RNAcentral's name for it is "lncRNA (ENSGALG00010020033.1)". The record is from RNAcentral. Lineage: Eukaryota; Metazoa; Chordata; Aves; Galliformes; Phasianidae.